GUUCGGAAUUUUUUAUUGAGAAUUUUUUCUUAUUAGUCAUACCUUGAGGUUUCACUAAUUUCCACGGACUCUCAACAGGUUUAUCUUUUCUUGUUUUUAAAGGGGAUUUAUUCCUAAAGGGAACUCUGGACCCGCCCAUUUUUUUAUAAUUUGGAGUAUGGAUCCCUUUUUCUCCUUUUUUAUCUAUCCUGAAAUUAUUUUACAAUUAUUAUUAUAGCCACCAUUCUGAUUAAACCUAUUUGGCUUAUUAGUAAUAGAAUGGAAAUUCAAAUCUCUAUCAUUCUUAUCCCUGACAUACUUUCUAUUUUUUGUUUCUGCUAUUUUCUCAUCAAUUUUAUUAACUUUUUCAAGUAAAAAUCUUUCUUUGUUUUUAAAAA
This is a non-coding RNA of Pelobates cultripes (western spadefoot toad), 377 nucleotides long. Lineage: Eukaryota; Metazoa; Chordata; Amphibia; Anura; Pelobatidae. The record is from the annotation of a GenBank genome assembly.